Molecule: ribosomal RNA, 403 nt
Filed under: Fusobacteriota bacterium
Lineage: Bacteria; Fusobacteriati; Fusobacteriota
Description: Fusobacteria bacterium partial 16S ribosomal RNA
Rfam family: Bacterial small subunit ribosomal RNA
Source: RNAcentral
UGGGGAAUAUUGCACAAUGGGGGAAACCCUGAUGCAGCGACGCCGCGUGAGCGAAGAAGGUUUUCGAAUCGAAAAGCCCUGUCCUAUGGGAAGAUAAUGACGGUACCAUAGGAGGAAGCCCCGGCUAACUACGUGCCAGCAGCCGCGGUAAUACGUAGGGGGCAAGCGUUGUCCGGAAUCACUGGGCGUAAAGGGUUCGCAGGCGGAAAUGCAAGUCAGUUGUGAAAGGCAGAGGCUCAACCUCUGUAAGCAAUUGAAACUGUAUUUCUUGAGAUGUGGAGAAGCAAGUGGAAUUCCUAGUGUAGCGGUGAAAUGCGUAGAUAUUAGGAAGAAUACCGGUGGCGAAGGCGACUUGCUGGACACAAACUGACGCUGAGGAACGAAAGCGUGGGUAACAAACAGG